AAAUUGAAGAGUUUGAUCAUGGCUCAGAUUGAACGCUGGCGGCAGGCCUAACACAUGCAAGUCGAACGGUAACAGGAAGCAGCUUGCUGCUUCGCUGACGAGUGGCGGACGGGUGAGUAAUGUCUGGGAAACUGCCUGAUGGAGGGGGAUAACUACUGGAAACGGUGGCUAAUACCGCAUAACGUCGCAAGACCAAAGAGGGGGACCUUCGGGCCUCUUGCCAUCAGAUGUGCCCAGAUGGGAUUAGCUUGUUGGUGAGGUAACGGCUCACCAAGGCGACGAUCCCUAGCUGGUCUGAGAGGAUGACCAGCCACACUGGAACUGAGACACGGUCCAGACUCCUACGGGAGGCAGCAGUGGGGAAUAUUGCACAAUGGGCGCAAGCCUGAUGCAGCCAUGCCGCGUGUAUGAAGAAGGCCUUCGGGUUGUAAAGUACUUUCAGCGGGGAGGAAGGUGUUGUGGUUAAUAACCACAGCAAUUGACGUUACCCGCAGAAGAAGCACCGGCUAACUCCGUGCCAGCAGCCGCGGUAAUACGGAGGGUGCAAGCGUUAAUCGGAAUUACUGGGCGUAAAGCGCACGCAGGCGGUCUGUCAAGUCGGAUGUGAAAUCCCCGGGCUCAACCUGGGAACUGCAUUCGAAACUGGCAGGCUUGAGUCUUGUAGAGGGGGGUAGAAUUCCAGGUGUAGCGGUGAAAUGCGUAGAGAUCUGGAGGAAUACCGGUGGCGAAGGCGGCCCCCUGGACAAAGACUGACGCUCAGGUGCGAAAGCGUGGGGAGCAAACAGGAUUAGAUACCCUGGUAGUCCACGCCGUAAACGAUGUCUACUUGGAGGUUGUGCCCUUGAGGCGUGGCUUCCGGAGCUAACGCGUUAAGUAGACCGCCUGGGGAGUACGGCCGCAAGGUUAAAACUCAAAUGAAUUGACGGGGGCCCGCACAAGCGGUGGAGCAUGUGGUUUAAUUCGAUGCAACGCGAAGAACCUUACCUGGUCUUGACAUCCACGGAAGUUUUCAGAGAUGAGAAUGUGCCUUCGGGAACCGUGAGACAGGUGCUGCAUGGCUGUCGUCAGCUCGUGUUGUGAAAUGUUGGGUUAAGUCCCGCAACGAGCGCAACCCUUAUCCUUUGUUGCCAGCGAUUAGGUCGGGAACUCAAAGGAGACUGCCAGUGAUAAACUGGAGGAAGGUGGGGAUGACGUCAAGUCAUCAUGGCCCUUACGACCAGGGCUACACACGUGCUACAAUGGCGCAUACAAAGAGAAGCGACCUCGCGAGAGCAAGCGGACCUCAUAAAGUGCGUCGUAGUCCGGAUUGGAGUCUGCAACUCGACUCCAUGAAGUCGGAAUCGCUAGUAAUCGUGGAUCAGAAUGCCACGGUGAAUACGUUCCCGGGCCUUGUACACACCGCCCGUCACACCAUGGGAGUGGGUUGCAAAAGAAGUAGGUAGCUUAACCUUCGGGAGGGCGCUUACCACUUUGUGAUUCAUGACUGGGGUGAAGUCGUAACAAGGUAACCGUAGGGGAACCUGCGGUUGGAUCACCUCCUUACCUUAAAGAA
RNAcentral lists this ribosomal RNA (1552 nucleotides) under Salmonella enterica. RNAcentral describes it as "bacterial SSU rRNA". It matches the Rfam family "Bacterial small subunit ribosomal RNA". Lineage: Bacteria; Pseudomonadati; Pseudomonadota; Gammaproteobacteria; Enterobacterales; Enterobacteriaceae. The record is from RNAcentral.